RNAcentral lists this long non-coding RNA (1545 nucleotides) under Struthio camelus australis. RNAcentral's name for it is "lncRNA (ENSSCUG00000000208.1)". The record is from RNAcentral. Lineage: Eukaryota; Metazoa; Chordata; Aves; Struthioniformes; Struthionidae.
AUGGCACAGCACCCCGAGGUGCCCCAUGGCACGGUGCAGGACCCCCAAGUGCUCGUUCCCACCAUGGCCCAGCACCACGAGGUGCCCCACAGCACGACCACCAAGUGCUCGUCCCCAUCACGGCACACCACCCCGAGGUGCCCCACGGCACAGCACAGCACCCCCAAGCACUUGUCCUCACCACGGCACAGCACCCAGAGGUGCCCCACAGCACGGAGCAGCACCCCUAAGUGCUCGUCCCCACCACGACACACCAACCCGAGGUGCCCCAAGGCGCAGCGCAGCACCCCCAAGUGUUUGUCCCCACCAUGGCACAGCACCCCGAGGUGCCCCAUGGCACGGUGCAGGACCCCCAAGUGCUCGUUCCCACCAUGGCCCAGCACCACGAGGUGCCCCACAGCACGACCACCAAGUGCUCGUCCCCAUCACGGCACACCACCCCGAGGUGCCCCACGGCACAGCACAGCACCCCCAAGCACUUGUCCUCACCACGGCACAGCACCCAGAGGUGCCCCACAGCACGGAGCAGCACCCCUAAGUGCUCGUCCCCACCACGACACACCAACCCGAGGUGCCCCAAGGCGCAGCGCAGCACCCCCAAGUGUUUGUCCCCACCAUGGCACAGCACCCCGAGGUGCCCCAUGGCACGGUGCAGGACCCCCAAGUGCUCGUCCCCAUCACGGCACACCACCCCGAGGUGCCCCACGGCACGGAGCAGCACCCCCAAGUGCUCUUCCCCACCACGACACACCAACCCGAGGUGCCCCACGACGCAGCGCAGCACCCCCAAGUGUUUGUCCCCACCACGGCACAGCACUCCAGGAUGCCCCACGGCACGACGCAGCACCCCCAAAUAUUCAUCCCCACCACAGCACAGCACCCCAGGGUGCCCCACGGCAUGGCCCAGCAUCCCCAAGUGCUCUUCCCCACCACGACACAGCAGCCCGAGGUGCCCCAUGGCAUGGCGCAGCACCACCAAAUGCUCGUCCCCACCACGGCAUAGCACCCCGAGGUGCCCCACAGCACAGGACCCCCAAGUACUCAUUCCCCACCACGGCACAGCACCCCAAGGUGCCCCACGGCAUGGAGCAGGAUCCCCAAAUGCUUGUCCCCACCUCGGCACAGCACCCUGAGGUGCCCCACGGCAUGGCGCAGCACCCCCAAAUGUUUGUCCCCGGCAUAGCACAGCACCCCAGGGUGCCCCACGGCACAGCGCAGCACCCUACCCCUAUGGACCCCACAUCGCACCGCUCCUGCCCUGGGUGCCAGGGAUGCAGGGGGCAGUGGGGCAGGGGGGGCCCCCUCCGCCCCGGCACAGCCCGGCAUAGCACAGCACCCCAGGGUGCCCCACGGCACAGCGCAGCACCCUACCCCUAUGGACCCCACAUCGCACCGCUCCUGCCCUGGGUGCCAGGGAUGCAGGGGGCAGUGGGGCAGGAGGGUCCCCCUCCGCCCCGGCACAGCCGCCUGGCCCAACGCACCUGGGCUCCCGGGCGCGCACCUCCGCUCCCUGGGGGCCACGGCACCGUCAAUGGACUCAGUGUC